CCUACGGGAGGCAGCAGUGGGGGAUAUUGCACAAUGGGGGAAACCCUGAUGCAGCGACGCCGCGUGAGUGAAGAAGUAUUUCGGUAUGUAAAGCUCUAUCAGCAGGGAAGAAAAUGACAGUACCUGACCAAGAAGCCCCGGCUAACUACGUGCCAGCAGCCGCGGUAAUACGUAGGGGGCAAGCGUUAUCCGGAUUUACUGGGUGUAAAGGGAGCGUAGGCGGGUUAUCAAGUCAGCGGUAAAAUCGUGGAGCUCAACUCCAUCCAGCCGUUGAAACUGAUGAUCUUGAGUGGGCGAGAAGUAUGCGGAAUGCGUGGUGUAGCGGUGAAAUGCAUAGAUAUCACGCAGAACUCCGAUUGCGAAGGCAGCAUACCGGCGCCCGACUGACGCUGAUGCUCGAAAGCGCGGGUAUCGAACAGGAUUAGAUACCCUGGUAGUC
Molecule: ribosomal RNA, 439 nt
Filed under: uncultured bacterium
Lineage: Bacteria
Description: partial 16S ribosomal RNA
Rfam family: Bacterial small subunit ribosomal RNA
Source: RNAcentral